AGGUGGUACAUUAGAUAAGUUAGAGGGUAGUAAGCUAGUCAAAUGAGGUGUGAGAGGUGGUACAUUAGAUAAGUUAGAGGGUAGUAAGCUAGUCAAAUGAGGUGUGAGAGGUGGUACAUUAGAUAAGUUAGAGGGUAGUAAGCUAGUCAAAUGAGGUGUGAGAGGUGGUACAUUAGAUAAGUUAGAGGGUAGUAAGCUAGUCAAAUGAGGUGUGGGAGGUGGUACAUUAGAUAAGUUAGAGGGUAGUAAGCUAGUCAAAUGAGGUGUGGGAGGUGGUACAUUAGAUAAGUUAGAGGGUAGUAAACUAGUCAAAUGAGGUGUGAGAGGUGGUACAUUAGAUAAGUUAGAGGGUAGUAAACUAGUCAAAUGAGGUGUGGGAGGUGGUACAUUAGAUAAGUUAGAGGGUAGUAAGCUAGUCAAAUGAGGUGUGGGAGGUGGUACAUUAGAUAAGUUAGAGGGUAGUAAGCUAGUCAAAUGAGGUGUGAGAGGUGGUACAUUAGAUAAGUUAGAGGGUAGUAAGCUAGUCAAAUGAGGUGUGAGAGGUGGUACAUUAGAUAAGUUAGAGGGUAGUAAACUAGUCGUGUAAAAUAUACAGAUGUAGGAUUUUAAUUUGAUCACUCUUAUGUUGCUGAGAAUGUUCCUGCGCUUCAGGAAAUGCAAGCUGGAGGGCGGAGUGUCUGCGGGUUUUCGCUCCACCCUUGUACUUAAUUGAUGAAUUAAGGUCACUAAUUAGUAAGGAACUCCCCUCACCUGGUUUUCUAGGUUUUAAUUGAAAUGUAAAAACAAACA
Molecule: long non-coding RNA, 789 nt
Organism: Oncorhynchus keta (chum salmon)
Lineage: Eukaryota; Metazoa; Chordata; Actinopteri; Salmoniformes; Salmonidae
Exons: 5
Source: RefSeq, a predicted model, not a curated record